UACGUAGGGGGCAAGCGUUGUCCGGAAUCAUUGGGCGUAAAGAGCGUGUAGGCGGCCCGGUAAGUCCGCUGUAAAAGUCAAAGGCUCAACCUUUGAAUGUCAGUGGAUACUGCCGGGCUAGAGUCCGGAAGAGGCGAGUGGAACUCCUGGUGUAGCGGUGGAAUGCGCAGAUAUCAGGAAGAACACCAACGGCGAAGGCAGCUCGCUGGGACGGUACUGACGCUGAGGCGCGAAAGCGUGGGGAGCAAACAGG
Molecule: ribosomal RNA, 253 nt
Filed under: uncultured bacterium
Lineage: Bacteria
Description: partial 16S ribosomal RNA
Rfam family: Bacterial small subunit ribosomal RNA
Source: RNAcentral